UGAUGAGGUAGAGGCGCAAAACCGAUUAGUACAUGUCUGGAGUUUGAACGACGUUAAAAGAUAUGGAAAGGCGUUUUUGCCGAAGCUGAAAGAAACGUUCAUUUCUUUUGGGCUGGGUCGUCACUGAAUAAGUGGCGGACUGUCACAGGAAACUGUGGAGGACUACUAUGGAU
RNAcentral lists this non-coding RNA (173 nucleotides) under Bacillus sp. (in: firmicutes). Its description in RNAcentral is "Bacillus sp. Lysine sequence". It matches the Rfam family "Lysine riboswitch aptamer". Rfam says of the family: Riboswitches are metabolite binding domains within certain messenger RNAs that serve as precision sensors for their corresponding targets. Allosteric rearrangement of mRNA structure is mediated by ligand binding, and this results in modulation of gene expression. This family includes riboswitches that sense lysine in a number of genes involved in lysine metabolism, including lysC. Lineage: Bacteria; Bacillati; Bacillota; Bacilli; Caryophanales; Bacillaceae. The record is from RNAcentral.